RNAcentral lists this ribosomal RNA (253 nucleotides) under uncultured bacterium. Its description in RNAcentral is "partial 16S ribosomal RNA". It matches the Rfam family "Bacterial small subunit ribosomal RNA", at positions 524 to 776 of the family's 1533-position model. The record is from RNAcentral.
UACGGAGGGUGCAAGCGUUGCUCGGAAUUAUUGGGCGUAAAGGGUAGGUAGGUGGUCUCGUUUGUCAGGGGUGAAAGCCUUGGGCUUAACUCAAGAAGUGCCCCUGAAACGGCGAGACUCGAGUACUGGAGAGGGUCGUGGAAUUCCCGGUGUAGCGGUGAAAUGCGCAGAUAUCAGGAGGAACACCAAUGGCGAAGGCAGCUCGCUGGGACGGUACUGACGCUGAGGCGCGAAAGCGUGGGGAGCAAACAGG